UGAGGGAUAUUGGUCAAUGGGCGAGAGCCUGAACCAGCCAAGUAGCGUGCAGGAAGACGGCCCUAUGGGUUGUAAACUGCUUUUAUGUGGGGAUAAAGUGCGUGACGUGUCAUGCAUUGCAGGUACCACAUGAAUAAGGACCGGCUAAUUCCGUGCCAGCAGCCGCGGUAAUACGGAAGGUCCGGGCGUUAUCCGGAUUUAUUGGGUUUAAAGGGAGCGUAGGCUGUCUAUUAAGCGUGUUGUGAAAUAUACCGGCUCAACCGGUGGCUUGCAGCGCGAACUGGUCGACUUGAGUAUGCAGGAAGUAGGCGGAAUUCAUGGUGUAGCGGUGAAAUGCUUAGAUAUCAUGACGAACUCCGAUUGCGCAGGCAGCUUACUGUAGCAUAACUGACGCUGAUGCUCGAAAGUGCGGGUAUCAAACAGG
RNAcentral lists this ribosomal RNA (424 nucleotides) under Verrucomicrobiota bacterium. RNAcentral describes it as "Verrucomicrobia bacterium partial 16S ribosomal RNA". It matches the Rfam family "Bacterial small subunit ribosomal RNA", at positions 355 to 776 of the family's 1533-position model. The record is from RNAcentral. Lineage: Bacteria; Pseudomonadati; Verrucomicrobiota.